UAGUCAUAUGGUUUCUCGUGGC
RNAcentral lists this non-coding RNA (22 nucleotides) under Arabidopsis thaliana (thale cress). Lineage: Eukaryota; Viridiplantae; Streptophyta; Magnoliopsida; Brassicales; Brassicaceae. The record is from RNAcentral.